GACGCUUUGGCAGAGCGGUUAAGGCAACACACUCGGACUGUCUGCAGGGAUUAGUUGGACCUCUCGCACAUGUUCAAAUCAUGUAGGCGUCG
Non-coding RNA from Tulasnella sp. 427, 92 nucleotides. Lineage: Eukaryota; Fungi; Basidiomycota; Agaricomycetes; Cantharellales; Tulasnellaceae. The record is from the annotation of a GenBank genome assembly.